GAGGGGAAGGGGCAGAGAGAAAGGGAGACACAGUAUCCAAAGCAGGCUCCAGGCUCUGAGCUGUCAGCCCAGAACCUGACACAGGGCUGGAACCCAUGAACCACGGGAUCAUGACCUGAGCCAAAGUCAGACACUUAACUGAUUGAGCCACCCAGGCACCCGUAACUUUAGGUUUUGAAUCAACUUUGUACUCCUAGGGUAAAACCCUUGAUGACAUCCUAAAUCAGCUUCUGCUAGAAUUGAUUUCUCCUCCUCCCUCUCCCCGUUAUCCUCCCCCUUCUCUGCCCCUCCUCCUCCUGGUGCAAAGGGAUGGUUUGGUAAAGCAUGGGGACAGGAUCUGUGGGCAGAAAGAGCUGCCGAUUUAUUAUUCUUUUACAUAGUGUCACUAGUGUUCAUGUAUGAGAUUUGCCUGUAGUUUUAUUCUCUUGGACUGUUCUCAAAACUCAGUUUUUACCAGUUAUUGUAUGUUUCCCAAUAGACUAUACUUGUGAAGUUGCACGUUUUAAUAUAUAUUCAAAGACUCAAAUUUUAAUAUAACUAUUGUACUGAGACAGUAAAAACCUUGGGAACAAGCCUCUAUGCCCCUGGGAAGCUCCGUGCUGGCCAUUACCACUUCUCUUGCAGAGCAAGACACCAGCUAAGGAUCAGAGCAAACUAGUCUGAGACACAGUGUCUGCCAGAUUUGACCUUUUACUGACUUUUGCCCUCAUUAUAAUAGUAAAAAUCACAUGCAAGGGGUGGAGAUUUUAACAUGUUAGACACAUGACACAUGAAGAAGUGUGACCUUUAAUUUUUUUUUAAUGUUUAUUUAUUUAUUUUUGAGAGACAGAGACAGAGCACGAACAGGAGAGGGGCAGAGAGAGAGGGAGACACAGAAUCCGAAACAGGCUCCAGGCUCCAAGCUGUCAGCACAGAGCCUGACGUGGGGCCCAAACUCACAAACCAUGAGAUCAUGACCUGAGCCAAAGCUGGACACUCAACCAACUGAGCCACCCAGGCGCCCCAGAAGUGUGACCUUUAAAUGCACGGGUCUCACUUUCUGGGAAAAGAUUACGUAAUGUGAGGACGUAGCAUUCCUGAGUAAGAGGUGCCUUGUCACUGACGGUUCUCUUGACCGGAGAGUUCAUACCAAGAUUCAGAGAAGAGCUGGAAGAGUCCUUUGGGCAGAUGUUGGACUCACUGGCCAUUUCCCAAGAGCAGCUGAAAAUGACCAAGUCCUAGGUGAGCUGUCUUUCCAAAGGAUUUGGGGAGAUUUCUAAGAAUGUGCACAAUUUUGAGAGCAACACUAUGUGCACAUAAUAGUCACGUGGGAAAAAGCAUGGACGAGAAGAUAGAAGAUUAAGACACAGCCAGGUGGAGCCUACAUAGAUCGUGGGUGAGAGCGCUUAACGUUGAAACAUUGCCGCGUGAACCAUACAGUCCAGAGCAGGGUUGCUGAUUUUCCGCUGGUGCGGAUGGCAGCCGUAAUCAAAAGAGAAACGGGCAUUUUUAUGAAGUACAUUUUCCAUUAAGACAGUUCCUCACAGUCAAUAAAUGCUUUCUGUCACUUAGGGAACAAGGUCUUCAUCAAAAACCGGAAGAGUCGCCAAAACUCCGUAUCACCAGUCCCUCCUCCCUCUCUUAUUUGAACCCACUUCAGUUGCUUUUAAUCCCCUCC
Neofelis nebulosa (Clouded leopard) is the source of this 1657-nucleotide long non-coding RNA. RefSeq lists it as uncharacterized. The record is from RefSeq and is a predicted model, not a curated record. The transcript is spliced from 3 exons. NCBI's taxonomy places the organism in Eukaryota, Metazoa, Chordata, Mammalia, Carnivora, Felidae.